Molecule: transfer RNA, 66 nt
Filed under: human gut metagenome
Rfam family: tRNA
About the family: Transfer RNA (tRNA) molecules are approximately 80 nucleotides in length.
Source: RNAcentral
GGCGUAGUUUAGUGGUAAAACAUUAGCUUCCCAAGCUGAGGUUGCGAGUUCGAUUCUCGUCGCCUG